CCGUAGGUGAACCUGCGGAGGGAUC
Molecule: ribosomal RNA, 25 nt
Filed under: Pezicula frangulae subsp. frangulae
Lineage: Eukaryota; Fungi; Ascomycota; Leotiomycetes; Helotiales; Dermateaceae
Also listed under: 1 other name
Description: partial 18S ribosomal RNA
Source: RNAcentral